GGAUUGCAGUGGCAGGACCGAAGAUUGGGGAUAGCAACCAUGGGUAUCAUCACUCGUUUCAUUCCCAGUUUAAGGUCAGUGUUGUUGUUGCUAUAAGUUAGAGCUUUAAAUAAAGAAAGAAAUAAAGUAAAAAAAGAAAUAUAGUGGUUUCAUUCUUUAAGGUGGGGGAUUUCAUGUUUUUCCCCUCUUCUGAUCAGAUG
Molecule: unclassified non-coding RNA, 200 nt
Filed under: Hevea brasiliensis (rubber tree)
Lineage: Eukaryota; Viridiplantae; Streptophyta; Magnoliopsida; Malpighiales; Euphorbiaceae
Source: RNAcentral